GUGCAGCAGCCGCGGUAAUACGGAGGGGGGUUAGCGUUGUUCGGAAUUACUGGGCGUAAAGCGCGCGUAGGCGGAUUGGAAAGUUGGGGGUGAAAUCCCGGGGCUCAACCCCGGAACUGCCUCCAAAACUGCCAGUCUAGAGUUCGAGAGAGGUGAGUGGAACUCCAAGUGUAGAGGUGAAAUUCGUAGAUAUUUGGAAGAACACCAGUGGCGAAAGCGGCUCACUGGCUCGAUACUGACGCUGAGGUGCGAAAGUGUGGGGAGCAAACAGGAUUAGAUA
RNAcentral lists this ribosomal RNA (280 nucleotides) under uncultured bacterium. RNAcentral describes it as "partial 16S ribosomal RNA". It matches the Rfam family "Bacterial small subunit ribosomal RNA", at positions 505 to 784 of the family's 1533-position model. The record is from RNAcentral.